This 253-nucleotide ribosomal RNA is filed under the name uncultured bacterium. Its description in RNAcentral is "partial 16S ribosomal RNA". It matches the Rfam family "Bacterial small subunit ribosomal RNA", at positions 524 to 776 of the family's 1533-position model. The record is from RNAcentral.
UACGGAGGGUGCAAGCGUUGUUCGGAAUUAUUGGGCGUAAAGGGCGUGUAGGCGGUUCGUACAGUCAGACGUGAAAUUCCUGGGCUCAACCUGGGGGCUGCGCUUGAUACGUGCGGACUUGAGUGCGGAAGAGGGUCGUGGAAUUCCCAGUGUAGAGGUGAAAUUCGUAGAUAUUGGGAAGAACACCGGUGGCGAAGGCGGCGACCUGGUCCGAUACUGACGCUGAGGCGCGAAAGCGUGGGGAGCAAACAGG